UAGCCUACGGGACGCAGCAGUGAGGAAUAUUGGUCAAUGGGCGGGAGCCUGAACCAGCCAAGUCGCGUGAAGGAAGAAGGUACUUAGUAUUGUAAACUUCUUUUGUCGGGGAACAAAGGCGGAGACGCGUCUCCGGAUGAGUGUACCCGAAGAAAAAGCAUCGGCUAACUCCGUGCCAGCAGCCGCGGUAAUACGGAGGAUGCGAGCGUUAUCCGGAUUUAUUGGGUUUAAAGGGAGCGUAGGCCGGUCUUUAAGCGUGCCGUGAAAUUUUGUGGCUCAACCAUGAGAGUGAG
Molecule: ribosomal RNA, 293 nt
Filed under: uncultured bacterium
Lineage: Bacteria
Description: partial 16S ribosomal RNA
Rfam family: Bacterial small subunit ribosomal RNA
Source: RNAcentral